This 497-nucleotide ribosomal RNA is filed under the name uncultured bacterium. RNAcentral's name for it is "partial 16S ribosomal RNA". It matches the Rfam family "Bacterial small subunit ribosomal RNA", at positions 28 to 507 of the family's 1533-position model. The record is from RNAcentral.
GACGAACGCUGGCGGCGUGCCUAAUACAUGCAAGUUGAGCGCUGAAGGUUGGUACUUGUACCGACUGGAUGAGCAGCGAACGGGUGAGUAACGCGUGGGGAAUCUGCCUUUGAGCGGGGGACAACAUUUGGAAACGAAUGCUAAUACCGCAUAAAAACUUUAAACACAAGUUUUAAGUUUGAAAGAUGCAAUUGCAUCACUCAAAGAUGAUCCCGCGUUGUAUUAGCUAGUUGGUGAGGUAAAGGCUCACCAAGGCGAUGAUACAUAGCCGACCUGAGAGGGUGAUCGGCCACAUUGGGACUGAGACACGGCCCAAACUCCUACGGGAGGGAGCAGGAGGGAAUCUUCGGCAAUGGACGAAAGUCUGACCGAGCAACGCCGCGUGAGGGAAGAAGGCUUUCGGAUCGGAAAACUCUGUUGGUAGAGAAGAACGUUGGUGAGAGUGGAAAGCUCAUCAAGUGACGGUAACUACCCAGAAAGGGACGGCUAACUACGUG